Mauremys mutica (yellowpond turtle) is the source of this 512-nucleotide long non-coding RNA. RefSeq lists it as uncharacterized. The transcript has 3 exons. The record is from RefSeq and is a predicted model, not a curated record. Lineage: Eukaryota; Metazoa; Chordata; Testudines; Geoemydidae.
GUUAGAGGAGUGUAGAGGGGAUCUUGACUGGCCAAAGGGAAUGGCUGCACCAUGGACAACUCAGUGCUGGCUGGCAGUGAGGAAGAGCUGCUGGGUCUGAACCUAGAAGACCUCUGAGGCUCAGGAUGACAGCUCUGCAGUAGGAAGGGCUUCUUUACAAUAGCUGGAGACCCUGCUGGGAAGAGAAGUGACCCACUGAGCUGCCUUAAGGAGUCUUCAGUGGCUGGUCAAGCUGUGAUCUCGGCUGCCCGGCCCUUGCACGUGAGAACUUCCCUGGAGAGAACAGAAGCACUUGUGGCACCUUGGAGACUGGCGCCACAGAGCUCCUCAGGUCACAAGAAGCUCAAAAGCUUGUCUCUUCCACCAUCAGAACUUGGUUCAGUAAAAGAGAUUACCUCACGCAUCUUCUGUGCCUCCUCCUGGGACCAACACAGCUACAACUCUCCUGAACUGGGCAAGUUAGAUUCUGUUACAGUGGCUGGAUUGGUGCAUAGAGGCUGAAAGAAAAUUGU